Small nucleolar RNA from Cynara cardunculus var. scolymus (artichoke), 108 nucleotides. RefSeq annotates it as small nucleolar RNA Z161/Z228. The record is from RefSeq and is a predicted model, not a curated record. Lineage: Eukaryota; Viridiplantae; Streptophyta; Magnoliopsida; Asterales; Asteraceae. The transcript has a single exon.
AAAUCAUAUGAUGAUUUUGGAUUAAAUUUCUCAUGACGGUCGUCUGAAAUUCAUACCUCUAUGUGGGGUUUGAUCAAUUGAUGAAUUUAUCCAGUUGUUCUGAUGGUU